Molecule: unclassified non-coding RNA, 384 nt
Filed under: soil metagenome
Description: partial contains 5.8S ribosomal RNA, internal transcribed spacer 2, and large subunit ribosomal RNA
Rfam family: 5.8S ribosomal RNA (bases 1-120)
Source: RNAcentral
GAUGAAGAACGCAGCGAAAUGCGAUAAGUAAUGUGAAUUGGAGAAUUCAGUGAAUCAUCGAAUCUUUGAACGCACCUUGCACCCUUUGGCAUUCCGAAGGGUAUGCUCGUUUGAGUGUCAUUGUACUCUCACUCUCCCGAUGCUUUUGGAUCGGGAGUGGUGGACUUGGGUGUUGCUGCUUUGCUGUGGCUCGCCUCAAAUGGAGUAGUGCAACUCUUGGUUGGACAUAGUACGGCGUGAUAAGUGUCUUCGCCGGCGCCUCAUUAUAGAGGGUGGCCGAUCGGGAGCUCUGUGCUUCAAACCGUCUUCGGACAACAUCUGACAACUUGACCUCAAAUCGAGUAGGACUACCCGCUGAACUUAAGCAUAUCAAUAAGCGGAGGA